GGGACAACGUUUCGAAAGGAACGCUAAUACCGCAUACGUCCUACGGGAGAAAGCAGGGGACCUUCGGGCCUUGCGCUAUCAGAUGAGCCUAGGUCGGAUUAGCUAGUUGGUGAGGUAAUGGCUCACCAAGGCGACGAUCCGUAACUGGUCUGAGAGGAUGAUCAGUCACACUGGAACUGAGACACGGUCCAGACUCCUACGGGAGGCAGCAGUGGGGAAUAUUGGACAAUGGGCGAAAGCCUGAUCCAGCCAUGCCGCGUGUGUGAAGAAGGUCUUCGGAUUGUAAAGCACUUUAAGUUGGGAGGAAGGGCAGUAACCUAAUACGUUGCUGUCUUGACGUUACCGACAGAAUAAGCACCGGCUAACUCUGUGCCAGCAGCCGCGGUAAUACAGAGGGUGCAAGCGUUAAUCGGAAUUACUGGGCGUAAAGCGCGCGUAGGUGGUUUGUUAAGUUGGAUGUGAAAGCCCCGGGCUCAACCUGGGAACUGCAUUCAAAACUGACAAGCUAGAGUAUGGUAGAGGGUGGUGGAAUUUCCUGUGUAGCGGUGAAAUGCGUAGAUAUAGGAAGGAA
Molecule: ribosomal RNA, 571 nt
Filed under: Pseudomonas sp. LS43
Lineage: Bacteria; Pseudomonadati; Pseudomonadota; Gammaproteobacteria; Pseudomonadales; Pseudomonadaceae
Description: bacterial SSU rRNA
Rfam family: Bacterial small subunit ribosomal RNA
Source: RNAcentral